CACCAGGUUGAUUCUGCCUGACGUGGACGCUAGUCUCACAGAUUUAGCCAUGCAUGUGUAAGCGAAGCUUAUAGGAGAGCGGUAUACGGCUCAGUAACGGGCGAUUUAUUUGUUCUCCUGGGACGGACAACAUCGGGAAACUGAUGGGAAAACGUCUAAGUUGCAGUUAAAUGACUGUGACGUAAACUUUCGUGUGCAGGAGAGUAAGAUGCCAUCCUAUCAGUUAGUAAGUAGGGUAAGGGCCUACUUAGACGAAGACGGGUACGGGGAAUGAGGGUUUGAUUCCGGAGAGGGAGCCUGAGAGAUGGCUACCAGGACCAAGGUCAGCAGCAGGCGCGAAAAUUAUCGAAGCCCGCCUAGGGGCGAUAGUGAGGAGACGUGUAUAACGAAGUACGUGUAAAGAACGUGCUAAUAACUGGAGGUCAAGUCUGGUGCCAGCAUCCGCGGUAAUUCCAGCUCCAGGGGUGUCUAUGAUGAUUGCUGCGAUUAAAAAGUCCGUAGUCAAUCUGACUGACUGACCUGCAAUGUGAUUGAUUAAAGAACGAGCAGGGUUAGGAAAGCAGAGAAUUAGGAGCGACCGAGGGCUAGAGUAUUGAAUGGCGAGAGGUGAAAUUUGAUGACCCAUUCAGGAGUGACAAAGGCGAAGGCACUAGUCAAGGGCGAAUCCGAUGAUCAAGGACGUAGGCUAGAGUUUCGAAAACGAUUAGAGACCGGAGUAGUUCUAGCAGUAAACUAUGCCGACGCCGUGGUAUCAAUAAUGGUAUUGCGGAAGAGAAAUCAAGUAAGGCUUUGGGGAGAGUACGCGCGCAAGCGAUAAAUUUAAAGGAAAUU
This 831-nucleotide ribosomal RNA is filed under the name Dictyocoela sp. BLAP PAR6. Its description in RNAcentral is "SSU rRNA". It matches the Rfam family "Microsporidia small subunit ribosomal RNA", at positions 1 to 788 of the family's 1311-position model. The record is from RNAcentral. Lineage: Eukaryota; Fungi; Microsporidia.